UUUUCAUUAUCCGCCAUUCUAUUUUAGCCAAUGGGGGAGCAGGGUAAGUUCAUUUCCCUUCCCAUUCAUAUUUCAUUCAGCGGGAGCGGGGGAGUCUGGGAGGGAGCAUCUGAGAAGGGAAGAAAAACUGCUUAGUUGUAGGGAAGAGGAUGUGAUCCCUAUGCAGAACAGAGGCAGCCUUCAGAAAGGGCAACAGAGAUGUGUGACACUGAGAAUCCGAAGUCCCCUGAGCUGGCAGGAUUGGAUGAGGAUGUGCUGAUGCCCUCUGGAUGGAGCCACUUCAAUCUCGGAAGCCAAAGAAGUCAGAGCCUGAGGAGCUUUCCAGCUCCCUGGCUGAGUCGCCUGGGCUUCCUGACGAGGAUAGUCUUCUUUGCCCUUUCCUUCAUCCUCAGCAUCAUUAUCUUAUCCCAAGGUAAGGCCCAGGCCCAGGGCUAGGAAUGGGCUGGGGGAAGGAGACGUUCCAUCUCUGGUCUCUCUCAUGGGAAUCAGGAGAUGGGGAAGAGGGAGAUGGUUUGAUAUAAUGAAAGGAGCAUUGAAACUGGAGUAAGAGAAUCCAAGUUCUAGCUUUGCUACUGCUGUGUAUUAGCUGUGUGACCUGGAGCUAGUCUCUUCCAUUCUCUGGCCUCAGUUUCCCUAUUUUUAAAAUGAAGUGGUUGGAUUACAGGAUCUUGAAGGUGGCUUUAUAGCCUAUACUAAUUUAGGAAUCUGGGCUGCUGGGAAUCUGGGGGCUACUCUGCAAGAGUGGAAGCAGGGUUGGGUCCCUGAAGUCAGACUGAAUUGGGGGCCAGGCCUGAGCCCUAUGUCCUGGGUGAGAUUGCCAUGCUAUUAGAGAGGGCAACAUCAAAGAGAGAUCAUGGGUUAGGUGCCAAACCUACCAUUGAUUCCAGAGAAAGGGAAGCUUGUUUGGAAUCAGGCUGUCUUCUUCCCUCCCUCCUUCCCCAACUCCCCAGCCCUUCAUUGGAUGGGUGCAACUGCUAUGGGCCCAGACUCAUUGCUUUGCCUUCCAGUCUUCCAGAAUCAAAGUCAGCAUAAUUUGGAGCAUGAAGCAAUCCAGAAGAAACUGAACCA
Molecule: long non-coding RNA, 1068 nt
Filed under: Vombatus ursinus (common wombat)
Lineage: Eukaryota; Metazoa; Chordata; Mammalia; Diprotodontia; Vombatidae
Description: lncRNA (ENSVURG00010000678.1)
Source: RNAcentral